This 910-nucleotide ribosomal RNA is filed under the name uncultured bacterium. Its description in RNAcentral is "bacterial SSU rRNA". It matches the Rfam family "Bacterial small subunit ribosomal RNA", at positions 8 to 916 of the family's 1533-position model. The record is from RNAcentral.
AGAGUUUGAUCCUGGCUCAGAUUGAACGCUGGCGGCAUGCCUUACACAUGCAAGUCGAACGGCAGCGCGGGGCAACCUGGCGGCGAGUGGCGAACGGGUGAGUAAUAUAUCGGAACGUACCCUGGAGUGGGGGAUAACGUAGCGAAAGUUACGCUAAUACCGCAUACGAUCUAAGGAUGAAAGUGGGGGAUCGCAAGACCUCAUGCUCCUGGAGCGGCCGAUAUCUGAUUAGCUAGUUGGUAGGGUAAAAGCCUACCAAGGCAUCGAUCAGUAGCUGGUCUGAGAGGACGACCAGCCACACUGGAACUGAGACACGGUCCAGACUCCUACGGGAGGCAGCAGUGGGGAAUUUUGGACAAUGGGCGCAAGCCUGAUCCAGCAAUGCCGCGUGAGUGAAGAAGGCCUUCGGGUUGUAAAGCUCUUUUGUCAGGGAAGAAACGGCCUGUUCUAAUACAGUGGGCUAAUGACGGUACCUGAAGAAUAAGCACCGGCUAACUACGUGCCAGCAGCCGCGGUAAUACGUAGGGUGCAAGCGUUAAUCGGAAUUACUGGGCGUAAAGCGUGCGCAGGCGGUUUUGUAAGUUUGUCGUGAAAUCCCCGGGCUCAACCUGGGAAUGGCGAUGAAGACUGCAAGGCUAGAGUUUGGCAGAGGGGGGUAGAAUUCCACGUGUAGCAGUGAAAUGCGUAGAUAUGUGGAGGAACACCGAUGGCGAAGGCAGCCCCCUGGGUCAAAACUGACGCUCAUGCACGAAAGCGUGGGGAGCAAACAGGAUUAGAUACCCUGGUAGUCCACGCCCUAAACGAUGUCUACUAGUUGUCGGGUCUUAAUUGACUUGGUAACGCAGCUAACGCGUGAAGUAGACCGCCUGGGGAGUACGGUCGCAAGAUUAAAACUCAAAGGAAUUGACGG